This 472-nucleotide long non-coding RNA is filed under the name Cricetulus griseus (Chinese hamster). Its description in RNAcentral is "lncRNA (ENSCGRG00015032979.1)". Lineage: Eukaryota; Metazoa; Chordata; Mammalia; Rodentia; Cricetidae. The record is from RNAcentral.
AAGAUGACCACCUGGGUAGGGCACCACUCUGCUAUAUAUAUGUGCCUCAUUUGGCAUCCACUUUGCAUGUCUGCUGCUGGGCUUCCAUCUGUCGACUCUCAACAUAAUGUCAGAGAUAAAAACUGAAGACUCCAUGGCUUCAAAUGCAUUUUUCUGCUGGCUGCCUGAUGGCUGUCUGGGGACAUAAAAUUUAGAAAGCAAUCCUUGCUGACUGGCCCUCUUACUGACCUCAAAAGAUGGGGAACAUGUUCCAGUUGGACCUCAAACUCAGUACCACAUACAAGCUUUCUCACUCACCCAGAGCCAUUAUCUAUCCUACUCUCAGCACAGACUUGCUCCACUUUAUAAUCCUUGACAAGCUGCAGGAGACUCUAGAAUAAAUCACCUUCCAACAAUACUCCAUCCAGAGGAGAGAACCUGGAGCCACACUGGCUGGGCCAAGGACUGGAGCACUGUUUUCUGGCUGUGUGAC